This 799-nucleotide long non-coding RNA is filed under the name Homo sapiens (human). Its description in RNAcentral is "HSALNT0330056". The record is from RNAcentral. Lineage: Eukaryota; Metazoa; Chordata; Mammalia; Primates; Hominidae.
CUCAAAUACAGAUGGAUACAUGUCAUUAUGCAAGCUAUCUGCUUUUCAGAGCUGCUGCCUCAAACUUCCUGCAGUAAGAUGCCCCCUCACACUCCCUGCAGUCCCCCAUCCCUGGCACUGGCUUUCCUUGAAAACAUAUAAUCUUGUCUACCUGCAUUUUUGUAUGUUUAGGCUCAAGCAAAGAAUCCAUUAUGAAAAUGACAGAACUGCCAGAAAGAAUUAUGACUUCACUGCUUAACAAGCUGUGAAUUCACUGUGGAGGUAGCAAGGCAGAGAAGCAAAGAAACAGGAGGAAGAAUAUAUAUGAAGGGAAACUCGCCUUGGGCUCUGCACUACUGCAAGUUGAGAAUGGUUUUCCCAGCCUUUCAGGAUUUCCAUGUUUGCUCCACCACAAACUACCUAAGUUUCUUUCCAUAGUAUGGGGCAGGAUUUUUGCCUUUUACCUAAAGUUGGUAAUACUUAGAAUGAUGAAGUUGAUGAUAAUGGCAGCUUGCAUUUAUUGAGAGAAAAACAAGUAUGACAGAGGUCUGAAGGACCAGAGGGGACCACUUAUUAGCUCAUCACAAACUUGAAACAGGCAAAAUGUACCUGUCAGAGCCUAAGUAGAACUGGAUUGCAUGAUGUAUGGCAGUGAUCUUCCAGAGCGCUCUCAAGUGUGUUUGACACGAGUGAACUGUGUUCGAGUUGAUUCUCCCUAUGGCAGUCCCAAAGCCUAAUUAUGAAAACACGAUAAGAUCAUUGCACAGUUAGACCAUUGCACCAUUGGCAUUCCUAAUAAACAGAUCAGCUUAGCCCAGCA